GGCAUUUUCCAGGCCAUGUGCCUCCUGAUCUGUGCUGAGAUGUACCAAGUCUCCAGACUGCAGCACAUCUGUGAGCUGUUCAUCAUCACCCAGCUGCAGAGCAUGCCCAGCAGGGAGCUGGCCUCCAUGAACCUUGACAUUGUGGACUUGCUCAAAAAGGCCAAGGUGGUUGGCCUGUGGUUGAGUGGGGAUGGUGCUCUUUUAAUUUAAUUUAAAAUAUGCAUAUACUAAUCCACAUUCCUUAAGUUGGCUGUGCUGUGAACAUUGGCAUUAUAGGAAAUAGAAUUUUCUUCCCAUAUUACUGAAAGGAAAAUGGCAGGAUUAGUCUGUAUACUAACUGACAUAGUUACCAAAGCUCUUUUCUCCCUCAUUCAUUCAUCCGUCAAUUCAUUUAUUCCAUGAGCAUGUUUUCAAGUUCAGUGGUAUGACAUGUCUUGCUUUGUUAGGAAUCUAGGAAAAUUAAAAGUGUUAAAGUUGGGCAUCACCUGACUGGCUUCUGCCUCCUUCAUUGCCUAGGACUUAACUGUUAAGAAUGGUGCUCCUACUAAUUUUAGGAAAUGCAUGCAGUUUACACAAGUAUUGUGGAAGGCUGUGGUUGUAAAGAGCUGAGAAUAUGGAAGCCAAAGAUGAGACACAGCAGACCUGUGUCUCUGCGAAGCUGAGCAGAACGGAAGUGGAAUGCAUUUCCCUUUGCCUUUCUUGCAGUUUCACCACUCGGACUGCCUUUCCACCUGGCUGCUUCAUUUCAUCGCCACUAACUACCUCAUAUUCAGCCAAAAGCCUGAAUUCCAGGACCUUUCAGUGGAAGAACGAAGUUUUGUUGAAAAGCACAGAUGGCCAUCAAACAUGUACUUGAAGCAGCUGGCAGAAUACAGGAAAUAUAUCCACUCCCGGAAAUGUCGCUGUUUAGUCAUGUGACCUGAGCUUUUGCAUACUUACACUUUUUUAUUAUUAUGAAGAAUGGGUACUUCUGGAUUCCAGUAAAAUUCUUAUAACUAAAAUCAAUGUUUUUUAAAAAUCACUAUAUAGCUUCUUACUAGUUACCUUUUAAAGACUAUGGUGGUCUUAAAAGGGAACAAAAGCUACCACAGACUUAAUUAAUGCUUCAUCUAGAAUAUAAAACUGUUGGACAUUGGGUCUCCUUUAAGUUUCCCUAUUGCUUUAAUAACAUCAAGACCUCUCCUAGUUAAAAGAUAUUUAAUUUAAAAAAUCUAGGAUAAAUACAAAAAUUUCAUCAUGUCUGAGUGAUUGCUCUGCUAAAAUAAGGGGCAUUUAAAAGCCAAGCGGAACCAUGGGAUUCAGAGGAGCUCUAACCAGUGCAGCAUGAAAUUGUAGAAAUAGAAAUUUGCCCAUGUCUUUGAUAGUCAUGUGUCAUCUGGCUUCCAGUCCAUUAAGAGUAUUUGGAUCAAUAUGAUAGCCCCAUCUGUACCAUCCACCCACAUCUGCUUGUCAAUCAGGCUGCAAACCUAAGUAGGCUGGUAGUUAUCUCUGUGUAACCUUCUAGAGUUUAUCGACUUCCAAACUUAGAAGGGUCUGGCAUUUGGUUCAGUGCUCUGAUAGUACAGUUGUUAAAUUCUUAAAAAUGUCUGAUGAAAGGCUCAUGUUUUCACUUUGCACUGGUUCCCCAAAAUUGUGUGUAUUUCCUA
Molecule: long non-coding RNA, 1646 nt
Organism: Rattus rattus (black rat)
Lineage: Eukaryota; Metazoa; Chordata; Mammalia; Rodentia; Muridae
Exons: 2
Source: RefSeq, a predicted model, not a curated record